This 440-nucleotide ribosomal RNA is filed under the name uncultured bacterium. Its description in RNAcentral is "partial 16S ribosomal RNA". It matches the Rfam family "Bacterial small subunit ribosomal RNA", at positions 338 to 795 of the family's 1533-position model. The record is from RNAcentral.
CCUACGGGUGGCAGCAGUGGGGAAUAUUGCACAAUGGGGGAAACCCUGAUGCAGCAACGCCGCGUGAGUGAAGAAGUAUUUCGGUAUGUAAAGCUCUAUCAGCAGGGAAGAGAAUGACGGUACCUGACUAAGAAGCCCCGGCUAACUACGUGCCAGCAGCCGCGGUAAUACGUAGGGGGCGAGCGAUAUCCGGAUUUACUGGGGGUAAAGGGAGCGUAGACGGUUCUGCAGGUCUGAAGUGAAAGCCCGGGGCUUAACCGCGGAACGGCUUUGGAAACUGUGGAACUGGAGUGCUCGAGAGGCAAGCGGAAUUCGUGGUGUAGCGAUGAAAUGCGUAGAUAUUAGGAGUAACACCAGUGGCGAAGGCGGCUUGCUGGACAGUAACUGACGUUGAGGCUCGAAAGCGUGGGGAGCGAACAGGAUUAGAUACCCUUGUAGUC